AUGGACGGCGCCGGGAGAACGACGACGACGACGGCGUGCGUGACCGGCGCGGGCGGCUUCGUGGCCUCGUGGCUCGUCAAGCUGCUCCUCUCCCGCGGCGGCGGCCGCUACGCCGUCCACGGCACCGUCCGUGACCCCGGUGAGUUUCUCGAACCGUUGGAUUCUUCCGUGACCGUGACCGAUGCUGAACGAAGAUUCGAUCUCCUGUUCCUGCCGGAAGGCGACGCCAAGAACGCGCACCUGGCGGCGCUGGACGGCGCCGCGGAGAGCCUGCGGCUGUUCAAGGCCGACCUGCUGGACUACGACAGCAUGGCGGCGGCCAUCGCCGGCUGCGACGUCGUCUUCCAUGUCGCCUGCCCCGUCCUCGCCAACCACACCCCCAACCCCGAGGCUGAUUUAAUUGCCCCUGCUGUGACUGGCACGAUGAACGUCCUGAAAGCUUGCUCUGAGGCUAAGGUCAAGAGGGUUGUGAUGGUGUCUUCCGUCGCUGCAGUCAUGACGAACCCCAGCUGGCCUGAAGGCAAGCCCAUGGAUGAAGACUGCUGGUCUGACGUCGACUACUGCAGAACCACAGAGAAUUGGUACAACCUUUCCAAAACACUAGCAGAGCUUCAGGCCUUCGAUUACGCAAAGAGAAGCGGGUUAGAUGUUGUGACCGUCUGUCCGUCGCUGGUGAUCGGGCCCUUGCUGCAACCUACGGUGAAUGCGAGCAGUUCGGUCAUAGUUGAUUUCUUGAAAGGUGAUAAUGAGGUAAAGAGCAAAAUCAGAAACUUCGUGGAUGUUCGAGACGUUGCCGAUGCUCUCAUCUUGGUGUAUGAAACCCCAGAGGUCUCCGGACGCUAUGUAUGCAGUUCACAUGCAAGGAAAGUCUCUGAUGUCAUAGACCUGAUGAAGGGCAUGUAUCCUGCUUACACAUUUGCCAACAAGGUUGUCCAAGUGGAUGACGAACCCUCGUUUAGUUCAAGGAAGCUUGAGAUGCUGGGCUGGAAAACCAAGCCACUUGAAGAGACCCUAAGGGACAGUGUCGAAUCAUACAAGGCUGCAGCUGUCUUGAAUUGA
Molecule: ribosomal RNA, 1059 nt
Filed under: Triticum aestivum (bread wheat)
Lineage: Eukaryota; Viridiplantae; Streptophyta; Magnoliopsida; Poales; Poaceae
Description: partial small subunit ribosomal RNA
Source: RNAcentral